Molecule: ribosomal RNA, 1242 nt
Filed under: metagenome
Description: bacterial LSU rRNA
Rfam family: Bacterial large subunit ribosomal RNA
Source: RNAcentral
UGAUGACGAGACGCUAAGGCGUUGAAGCAGUGUAUGUCAGACUUCCAAGAAAAGCUCGCAAUGUCACAAAUAAGAAAUGCCUGUACCAUAACCGACACAGGUGGGUAGGUAGAGUAUACUAAGGGGCGCGAGAUAACUCUCUCUAAGGAACUCGGCAAAAUGACUCCGUAACUUCGGGAGAAGGAGUGCCUUAUUUAUAAGGUUGCAAUAACAAGAUCCAAGCAACUGUUUAUCAAAAACACAGGUCUCCGCUAAGUCGUAAGACGAUGUAUGGGGGCUGACGCCUGCCCAGUGCCAGAAGGUUAAAGAAGUUGGUUAGUGUAUGCGAAGCUGAUGACUGAAGCCCUGGUGAACGGCGGCCGUAACGAUAACGGUCCUAAGGUAGCAAAAUUCCUUGUCGGGUAAGUUCCGACCCGCACGAAAGGCGUAAUGAUUUGGAUACUGUCUCGGAGAGAGGCUCGGUGAAAUAGACUUGUCUGUGAAGAUGCGGACUACCUGCACCAGGACAGAAAGACCCUAUGAAGCUUUACUGUAACUUGAAAUUGGAAUUGGACUUUGCUUGCGCAGUAUAGGUGGGAAGCGUUGAAAAUAUUCUUGCGGGAGUAUUGGAGCUAUCAGUGAGAUACCACUCUUGUAAUGUUAGAUUUCUAACUUUGAACCAUAAUCUGGUCAAAGAACAGUUUCAGGUGGGCAGUUUGACUGGGGCGGUCGCCUCCCAAAUGGUAACGGAGGCGUACAAAGGUUUCCUCUGAACGGAUAGAAAUCGUAUCUAGAGUGUAAAGGCAUAAGGAAGCUUGACUGUGAGACCUACAAGUCGAGCAGGGACGAAAGUCGGUCUUAGUGAUCUGACGGUACUGAGUGGAAAGGCCGUCACUCAACGGAUAAAAGUUACUCUAAGGAUAACAGGCUGAUCUCCCCCAAGAGUUCACAUCGACGGGGAGGUUUGGCACCUCGAUGUCGGCUCAUCGCAUCCUGGGGCGGUAGUACGUCCCAAGGGUUGGGCUGUUCGCCCAUGAAAGCGGUACGCGAGCUGGGUUCAGAACGUCGUGAGACAGUUCGGUCCAUAUCCGGUGUAGGCGCUAGAAUAUUGAGAGGAGCCUUCUUUAGUACGAGAGGACCGAGAAGGACACACCGCUGGUGUACCAGUUAUCGUGCCAACGGUAAACGCUGGGUAGCUAUGUGUGGAGUGGAUAACCGCUGAAAGCAUCUAAGUGGGAAGCCCACCUCGAGAUGAGUAUUCUG